GUCUUUCUACUCUGCCAACCCCAGCAUGUGGCAUGUCGUUUUUAUGGCGGCCAAAUUUUAAAAAAUGCCGAUGUCUUAAAAGAGAAGGAAAGGCUGAGGAACUUUUUGGGAUGAGAGGAGACUGAAGAACAGUGAGGACUAAAUGCAGCAGGUAACCGCAGACUGGACCCUACACUAGAGGCGAAGAAGUGCUAUCAAGGACAUUAUUGGGUCAACUGGCAAAACCAGAACACCAGCAGGGGCUGAGCACAGGCAUCGUAUUAGUGUCCAGUUUAUGGACGAUUGUAUAAAAUAAUAUCCUUAUUCUAGGAAAUCCACACUGAAAUAUUUAGGGAGAAAGGGCCAUGAUGUAGGCAACUUACUUAAGAAAAUUAAAUUGAUU
Molecule: non-coding RNA, 382 nt
Organism: Vicugna pacos (alpaca)
Lineage: Eukaryota; Metazoa; Chordata; Mammalia; Artiodactyla; Camelidae
Source: RefSeq, a predicted model, not a curated record